AGAGUUUGAUCAUGGCUCAGGAUGAACGCUGGCGGCGUGCCUAACACAUGCAAGUCGAGCGAUUCUCUUCGGAGAAGAGCGGCGGACGGGUGAGUAACGCGUGGGUAACCUGCCUCAUACACAUGGAUAACAUACCGAAAGGUAUGCUAAUACAAGAUAAUAUAAGAGAUUCGCAUGGGUUUCUUAUCAAAGCUCCGGCGGUAUGAGAUGGACCCGCGUCUGAUUAGCUAGUUGGUAAGGUAACGGCUUACCAAGGCGACGAUCAGUAGCCGACCUGAGAGGGUGAUCGGCCACAUUGGAACUGAGACACGGUCCAAACUCCUACGGGAGGCAGCAGUGGGGAAUAUUGCACAAUGGGCGAAAGCCUGAUGCAGCAACGCCGCGUGAGCGAUGAAGGCCUUCGGGUCGUAAAGCUCUGUCCUCAAGGAAGAUAAUGACGGUACUUGAGGAGGAAGCCCCGGCUAACUACGUGCCAGCAGCCGCGGUAAUACGUAGGGGGCUAGCGUUAUCCGGAUUUACUGGGCGUAAAGGGUGCGUAGGUGGUUUCUUAAGUCAGGAGUGAAAGGCUACGGCUCAACCGUAGUAAGCUCUUGAAACUGGGAAACUUGAGUGCAGGAGAGGAAAGUGGAAUUCCUAGUGUAGCGGUGAAAUGCAUAGAUAUUAGGAGGAACACCAGUAGCGAAGGCGGCUUUCUGGACUGUAACUGACACUGAGGCACGAAAGCGUGGGGAGCAAACAGGAUUAGAUACCCUGUAGUCCACGCCGUAAACGAUGAGUACUAGGUGUCGGGGGUUACCCCCCUCGGUGCCGCAGCUAACGCAUUAAGUACUCCGCCUGGGGAGUACGCUCGCAGAGUGAAACUCAAAGGAAUUGACGG
Molecule: ribosomal RNA, 877 nt
Filed under: uncultured bacterium
Lineage: Bacteria
Description: bacterial SSU rRNA
Rfam family: Bacterial small subunit ribosomal RNA
Source: RNAcentral